RNAcentral lists this long non-coding RNA (681 nucleotides) under Bos taurus (domestic cattle). RNAcentral describes it as "long non-coding RNA NONBTAT018080". Lineage: Eukaryota; Metazoa; Chordata; Mammalia; Artiodactyla; Bovidae. The record is from RNAcentral.
UUUUGAUCUUCAAGUAGUGAUUUUUAUUCAGUUACUAAAACAAAUCAGUAUUGAUACUGCCCAUGAAAUCCAUAAUAUAAUUGCUCCUAAGUAAGUAGGUUUAGAGCAGAGAUUAUGGGAGUCAAAUUGGCAAAGAAUGAGAAGACCUGCCAUCUUAUUUAAAUACAAUGUGCAUAACAACAGUAGCUCCAUUCAGAUUCACGGGAAAGGAGCAAUAACUCAUAGCUGUCUAAGUUGAAUAGUUUUUAUGUAGACAAUCUAAAUGAAAGAAAAUUCUCAUUGCUCUAUCUAGGACAAACAGAUAGUGGGAGAAGUUGAGGUCGGGAAGCUACAUGCUCUACAUGAGUCACAAAUUAACUGGUCUGAUUUUAUUGUUAUUGUAUUUCAUUUGUGACAAUAAUUACUUUUGCUUUGCCUUACAAGUGUCUCUGACUUUCUCAAAAUGUUCCCAAACAGACACUAAGCUGCUUGGUAGCACAAUAAGUUGUGACUUCAUCUUUUAUUUGCACUGUGAAAAUAUGCCUAUAGCAAGACACAUGCUAAAGAAAUAUUGGCUGAAAACAUAAAUGAAUUGCAAGUAGAAAUAUUUUUCUACCAAGGUGUCAUGGGGAGCAUGGGAUUUAUGGUUUUAAAAAAGGGGAAAGCCUGAGGAAGAUUAAGCAUAGUGAUUGGAAUGAUUUC